GUAGGUCAUGUUUAAAGAUAAUGGGGUUACUAGAUACAAGGAUGCUGAACCUCUAAAUCAGUUUUUGUGUAAGAACUUCUCAGGAACAUUCACACUGGACUUUGCAUGAGUGAAAGUAACACAAAGAGUUUGCUAUUACAAUUACACCCCCUAAUAGAGAAACCAGUAUCUUGAAGUGAGAUGCAGAUACAACAAAAAUUAGAAUAUGUGACAUUAGCUUAGGAGUGGGCAGCUCUAUUGAGUAGCAGAAUAAAGCAUGUUGAUUAAUUGGUGAUUACAAUGAAAAGGCAUCUAAAAACUCUCCACCUCUGGUAGCUUGGAAGGCAGAGAUUGUAGUUCUAGAGAUGUUUGGAAAGUAGAUAUGAGUAGCAUAUGUUAUUAUUACUGAUGGUUUCAGCAAAGUAUUACAAGCAAGACAUAAGCUAAGGAACUAACUGGCAGGUUUAAAGUAGAAUUGAAAGGGAAUAGAAAAGGUUAGAAAAAUAAGUAAGACAUGGUAUUUGAAAGACUUUGAAGAACCAAGACCCAGUGAGAUUUCUGAGCUGCACGGUGACUCAGAAUUGUGCCAAAGAUCAAAUGAAGGACAUGCUCUGUCAGCUCAGGCUUGACAGGCUCAAGAUGAUCCGACUUUUGGUUGAGACAGAGAGAGGAAUGAUAGCAAAGUAGAAAAGAAAUGGAGCAUGUUUGAGAACAAAGUCUGGCAGUUUGGGCUCCUUGUGAGCCAUGAUUCUGACUGGAAGCUUCUUGUACUUGAAAUAGUUUGCCAAGUUUUUAAAAUAAUUAUGCUGCCAAAUAGCCACAAAUCCAUGUUAAAAAGUCUUUGACUCUGCAAUUCAUGGAACAACCUUUAGACACCUGUAUUUCCAUGAGUAUGAGGUGGGUGCUGUAAGUUGAGCAGCAAAGAAAGACUUCUAUAUAUGGGCCUGAGAAGACAAUUGUCAUUAUUCAAAUAUCCCACAACAUAAACCAGAUGCUGUGACUGGAUGGGAUUUGGGGUAUUCAAUUGGGGAAGGUGAGCAUAUGGAGAUAGUAUGAAAGGACUAUUUGGUGAUCAGAAAGUAGAUUAUUUAAAAAAAUACACCUAUAUGCUAAUCAAACUGUUUCCAUUUUCCCCUGGAUGCAUAGCUAAAGCUACAUUGUUCGGUCACCAUUUAAGAUAGUUUGGGAUCAUAUGAUUAAUUUUGGUCCAUAAAAUCUCCUGCCUGACCCUCUACACUUACUCACUUAUUGAAGAGGGAGAUGGAGGCGUUAGUGGAUGAUAGGCACAGUUUAUAGGCAAACCACUCAGGAAGGGAUGAGCAACAGAUACAUUUUAAUUACAUUGAACCACUGAGACCUCUGGAUUUUUUUGAUUGUUUUGUUAUUGUUAUUGCAUAAGUUAGCAUUAAUAACCUUGACUAUAGAGAUAAUUUUUAGCAAAAAUAAUUCCAUUUUAUACCAAAAUUAAAAUAUUGUUUUAAAGAAAAAUAUAUAGUAUAUUUUAGAUACACAAAUACAUAUUUUAUUUAUUUAAUUUUAAUUUUAUUUUAUUUUAUUUUUUGCUUUUUUAGGGCCACACCCACAGCAUAUGGAAGUUCCCAGGCUAGGGCUCAGAUCAGAGCUAUAGCUGCCAGCCUACACCACAGCCACAGCAAAGCAAGAUCUGAGCCACAUCUGCAACCUACACCACGGCUCAUGGCAAUGCUGGAUCCUUAACCCAUUGAGCAAGGCUAGGGAUUGAACCAGCAUCCUUAUGGAUAACUGAUUGGGUUCAUUACUGCUGAACCACAACGGGAACUCCAUAGAAACAUAUGUUUUAGAUAUAUGAAUGUAUAACAAUUAUUUUAACUUACUAUGAAGAGGAUGAACCUUGGUAAUAUUUUUUGAAAGACAUCAACAUUCAUAAUUUUUAGGUGGCUACUAUUUAAAACAAACAAACAAACAAACAAACUCCUAUUACUCUUGUUUCAGCAAGACAUCAGAAGAUCUAGUCUAUUUGGCAAACACUGAUUGUUACUGGGGCCUAAUCUUCCCCACAAUUCAAGGAACACAAAAUAACAUGUGGAUUUUGGACAUGUGAUUUUAGGUAACUGUCAAGAAGUAAUUAAUGACGACUUCAGAAGAAGCUGUCAUGGGGUAUCUAUGAUGUCUUUAAAUGAAUAACAGUUUAUCCUGCUCAUAUUGUUUUCCACAAAGACUGCUGUUCCAUUCUAUUUGAACUUAAUUGGUAUAAUUGAUAACAGUUAGAGCUUGGAGUGCCAUUUUAAUCAUGUAGGUACAGCUUUCCUGUCAGAAAAAAUAAAAUAGCUGCUGUGAGUUAUCUGUUAUUACUGGAGAGACGGAAAGGUAAAAUAAAUGACUUUUUUAUUUUAGGCUGAGACUCUGGGACUUCUGGAUCACAACUGGAAAUUUAUUAAUGAUAUUAAAAAGUUUGGGCUCAUCUCCAAGCAAUUAAUAAAAACUAGUUGGUAUAUAAUUUAGCAUAAAGAAAAAGGUGAGAAAAUGAGUUAGAUACAGGUUAGUGAUACACACAAAUGAUCCAAGAAGAACGUAUUUGAAAAUGUUCCAACCAUUAGGGUAACCCCUAGUAAAUUAGAUUUUGAUGACAAACUUGUGCUCUCACUACCUGAAUAUUUAAUUUUUAGUUUGAGGUGAAGACGGAAAAUGGUCUUAAGUAUAAAUAUGAUUACUCCCAUUCUCAGUAAUUUGAGUGGUUUGUGCAAAAGCGCAUGUGAGGGGGAGGGAGGGGGCUGCACACUGAAAAUAGAUACUGCAACGUUACCACUGAAUAUUUAAUUAUUGAGCGAUAAUAAGCUGGUUCUUCUAAAAGAGCACUGUGCCUUUCACUUUUAUCAGCAUUCUUCGGCAUGUUCUCUUCAACUCUACAAACUCUAGAUCUCAGGGUUUUCCUCAGGGGAUUGAGGAUGUUUUACUUUCUCUUCGCACUGUGGAAUUUUGAAUUCUAGCUUCUGUGGCAUUUCCUAUUCCUUGUUUCAUUGGUUUUUGUUACUGUUCUUUCUUUUUUUUUUUUUAAUUCGGGAAACAGUCUUACUCCAUCAACCAGAUUUUUAACAGUUGGAUCACUUUCCAUUAUUAGUUCAGCACAUAAAAGGCUAAGCAAUCCACAGCCCGGGUACUGUCUCACUUUUCUUCGUUCACGCUGCUCUAACUCCUGGUAAGAGCAUCUCCCACCACGCCGGGUUAACUCUACCCAGGUAGAAAGAGACCAAAAACACUCCAGGACCUAGGAUUUUGCCUGGCAUGGGGUACUUCAGACACAAAAAUAAAUAAAUAAAAAUAAAUAAACUGUAACUAUUACACAACCCAAAUGUAGCUAAGAUUUCUCUGGAAGUUCUUUUACUUAGCUUAAUCAAUAGCUAGGCAAAUCCCUACUCUACGCGAUAUUUUCCUGGGGCUUCCUGUCCCACCCCUCCCCUGGCUCAUCUCUGAUUCAGAUCCCCUGAAGUUUAUCUGUACUCUGCUAUCCUCUUUCCUUUCGCACAGAGGGGAAAAAAGGAAGUGUUCACACUCACGAAGGCUGCUUUUUUCUCACUAACUCCUUGUUUUUACCAUUUCCCAUCCCGGAAUUUUGCUUCCAAAUUUAUUCUCUUCCUGUCUAGCACAAUCUGCCUCUUCAACUACACUCAUGAUGCUCUGCCUGCAAAGACUCACAGAGCUUGACGACUCUGAAAAACAAAACCAGAGGAGCAAGAGGUAUUUAAUUUUGUUCUACUGCACUUCCUGCCAGUCUUUCUCCUUUGUGCAAUGGUACAACACCUUUACACAGAAUGAUUGCAACCAUUCACCGUGUUAUUUCUGUCCCUUCCUUGCUCAAUUCUAUGUACUGACUUCUAAACCCAUCACUCUCAUGAAAUCACCCUCUCCAAAUUUCUAGUGAUUUCCUAAUUAUAAAAUCCCAUGAUCAUUUCUGUAUUCUUCUUUUUAAGGCAUACUCCUGGAUUUGAUGGUUUUUAAAUUUUUUUUUAAUUUAAUUUAAUCUUAUUUUAUGACUACACUCACAGCUUAUGUAAGUUCCCAGGCCACAGGUUGAAACCCAGCUGCAACGGCAACUUGAGCUGCAGCUGUGUCAAUGCUGAAUCCUUUAACCCACUGAGCUGGGCCAGGGAUCGAACCCGUAGCUUUGCAGCGAUCCGAGCCAUUGCCAUCGGAUUCUUAAUCCACAGUGCCACAGCAAGAGCUCCUGAAAUUUUUUUUUUUUUUAAUCUUCACCUACUUAUCCAAACCUACUCUCAUUCUAUAGGAGGCAUGACCUGUCUUGAUUCAUUACCUUUGCCUUAACUUUUUUUUUUCCCCCUGUGUCCUCCUUGGCUGGCUCCUCUUUCCUCCAUAUCACUUUGAUUUCAGAAAACACUGUUUUGGUCUUUUGCUAUUACACUCCUCAUUUUGUAUUCUUGUUCCCAGGAGUUCAUGGAUUAUUUUCAUUUCAAGUAAGUACACUUCAAAACAAGCAUCAUUAUUUCUGUUCUCACAUCAGGACACUGGAGACAUGUUACCAAUUUCUAAUUCAAUUGUCCUUUAUGAAGAUGGCACAUUUACAAAAUACAGAUACAACUUUCCCCUCAACCUCACACCAGCUUACACCACCAUGCUAAUCAUUUCCCAGGCUCAAGAGUGUUUUUUGUUUUUGUUUUUCCUUUCUUUAGGCUGAACCUGAGAAAUAUGUAAGUCCCCAGGCUAGGGGACGAAUAGGAGCUGCAGCUGCUGGCCUACACCAAAGCCACAACAACUCCAUAUCUGAGCCACAUCUGUGACCAACACCACAACUCAUACCACAGCCUACAGAAAUGCCCGAUCCUUAACCCACUGAGCAGGGCCAAGGAUCGAACCUGCCUCCUCAGGGAUAUUAGUUGGGUUUGUUACUGCUAAGCCAAAGUGGAAACUCUCAAAAGUGUUUUUAACUCAUUCCUUUAUUUACCCUAUUGGGUGAGAUGACAAAUUCUCAAAUUUCUACUUCAAAAAUUUGUUUGCUUAGGGUAGUUGAGGAAUAGGUCCAGAAUGGGAUGGAAAGUUGAACCUGAAGAGCCUCCUACCCCCCAAAAGAUAGACAUAAUAUUCUUGAAUGCAAAAGUGGCUUCGGGGGGACACUGUGAUGAUCUGAAUGCAAUCUUUGCAAGACAAUGGGAAAUAUUUUAGAACUGAUUUCUUACCUCUGGUUUAUAGUUAGUCACAUGUUGGGAAGAAAUGUUAAUAUGCUCUAUUCUCCACUUUUCUAAAGGCUAUGACUCUUUCACCUUUAGUAUCAAUCAGAGUAGAUCCUUUGACUUCUGUUUUACAAAUCAACAGUUUUUAUUUAUAAGAACUCCUUUAAUUUAUUGCCUCCAAGACUGCAAACUUGGCUGCAUAUGCCCCAUUCUUUUCCUUUCCUUUUCUGUUUUUCUUCACCACUAAGGCAAACUUUUACCUGCCUUUUAAAGAUUCAGAGUCUCUACCUUGCCAUACUUUACCAAUUCAUCCUGGGCAGGAUUUUAAUAAACUCUAGCUUGUACAAAUAAAAACAAAUAAACAAACCAAAAGAAAUCUCUCCCCAGAUACCACACUUUUCUCUCUAUUUCCUUUCUUUCUUUCUUUUUUUUUUUUUUUUUUUUGGUUUUUAGGGUUGCACCCAUGGCACUGGAGGUUCCCAGGCUAGGGAUCAAAUCAGAGCUACAGCUGCCGGUCUACACCAGAGUUCAUGGCAACGCCAGAUCCUUAACCCACUGAGCGAGGCCAGGAAUCAAACACUCAAACUCAUGUUUCCUAGUCAGAUUUGUUUCUGCUGUGCCAUGACGGGAACUCCUCUAUUUCCUUUCAUUUGAUAAAUUUUGAUAAGAUUAAUACAUAUUCACAUUUCAACUUAGACGUUUUUUUCCUAUUUAUGUUUUCUCCUCCGUUUAGGGCUCUUCUUUUCAAUCUUCCAGAGGUUUUUCUUCUGCCUGUCUACUCAUAGACAGUGUUAUCAUUGGUUCUACCGGGAGCCCAUUUCUUUCCUCUGUCACCACCCCCUGGCUAAUCUUGUCCAUUCCUACAUUCAGAUGUAGACUAUUUCUUUCAAUAAAUGUGUAUUGAGGGAGUUCCUGUUGUGGUUCAGUGGUAAGGAAUCCAACUAGUAUCCAUGAGGAUGUGAGUUGGAUUCCUGGCCUCGAUCGGUGGGUUAAGUAUCCGACCUUGAUCUGAACUGUGGUACAGGUUGCAGCCCAUGUUGCUGUGGCUGGGGGGUAGUCUGGCAGCUGUAGCUCCAACUCGACC
Molecule: long non-coding RNA, 6225 nt
Filed under: Sus scrofa (pig)
Lineage: Eukaryota; Metazoa; Chordata; Mammalia; Artiodactyla; Suidae
Description: lncRNA (ENSSSCG00000051236.1)
Source: RNAcentral